RNAcentral lists this ribosomal RNA (1033 nucleotides) under Escherichia coli. Its description in RNAcentral is "partial 23S ribosomal RNA". It matches the Rfam family "Bacterial large subunit ribosomal RNA", at positions 711 to 1744 of the family's 2925-position model. The record is from RNAcentral. Lineage: Bacteria; Pseudomonadati; Pseudomonadota; Gammaproteobacteria; Enterobacterales; Enterobacteriaceae.
AGACCCGAAACCCGGUGAUCUAGCCAUGGGCAGGUUGAAGGUUGGGUAACACUAACUGGAGGACCGAACCGACUAAUGUUGAAAAAUUAGCGGAUGACUUGUGGCUGGGGGUGAAAGGCCAAUCAAACCGGGAGAUAGCUGGUUCUCCCCGAAAGCUAUUUAGGUAGCGCCUCGUGAAUUCAUCUCCGGGGGUAGAGCACUGUUUCGGCAAGGGGGUCAUCCCGACUUACCAACCCGAUGCAAACUGCGAAUACCGGAGAAUGUUAUCACGGGAGACACACGGCGGGUGCUAACGUCCGUCGUGAAGAGGGAAACAACCCAGACCGCCAGCUAAGGUCCCAAAGUCAUGGUUAAGUGGGAAACGAUGUGGGAAGGCCCAGACAGCCAGGAUGUUGGCUUAGAAGCAGCCAUCAUUUAAAGAAAGCGUAAUAGCUCACUGGUCGAGUCGGCCUGCGCGGAAGAUGUAACGGGGCUAAACCAUGCACCGAAGCUGCGGCAGCGACACUGUGUGUUGUUGGGUAGGGGAGCGUUCUGUAAGCCUGUGAAGGUGUGCUGUGAGGCAUGCUGGAGGUAUCAGAAGUGCGAAUGCUGACAUAAGUAACGAUAAAGCGGGUGAAAAGCCCGCUCGCCGGAAGACCAAGGGUUCCUGUCCAACGUUAAUCGGGGCAGGGUGAGUCGACCCCUAAGGCGAGGCCGAAAGGCGUAGUCGAUGGGAAACAGGUUAAUAUUCCUGUACUUGGUGUUACUGCGAAGGGGGGACGGAGAAGGCUAUGUUGGCCGGGCGACGGUUGUCCCGGUUUAAGCGUGUAGGCUGGUUUUCCAGGCAAAUCCGGAAAAUCAAGGCUGAGGCGUGAUGACGAGGCACUACGGUGCUGAAGCAACAAAUGCCCUGCUUCCAGGAAAAGCCUCUAAGCAUCAGGUAACAUCAAAUCGUACCCCAAACCGACACAGGUGGUCAGGUAGAGAAUACCAAGGCGCUUGAGAGAACUCGGGUGAAGGAACUAGGCAAAAUGGUGCCGUAACUUCGGGAGAA